AAGAGGUAAUAAUAAUAUAAUAAUGAAAUGAAAAUUAUUUUUUCAAUUAUUGUUUUCUGGAAUUUCGUAUUUUGAUUUUGUAUGUUUUUUUUUCCUUUUUCUGCUUUUCAGAUUCGUAUCAUAUUAUGUACUACAUACAGAGAGUGAAAGUUUUUUUUUCUACACCCAUCCCUCCAAAACACCAACACACAAAACAAAACCCCACCAACACGUUUGACAUAUUUUCUUUUUUUUUU
Molecule: non-coding RNA, 236 nt
Filed under: Heterosigma akashiwo
Lineage: Eukaryota; Raphidophyceae; Chattonellales; Chattonellaceae
Source: RNAcentral